Molecule: ribosomal RNA, 484 nt
Filed under: uncultured bacterium
Lineage: Bacteria
Description: partial 16S ribosomal RNA
Rfam family: Bacterial small subunit ribosomal RNA
Source: RNAcentral
AGUGAACGCUAGCGGGAUGCUUUACACAUGCAAGUCGAACGGCAGCGCGGUCUUCGGUCUGGCGGCGAGUGGCGAACGGGUGGGUAAUGUAUCGGAACGUGCCCAGUAGCGGGGGAUAACUACGCGAAAGCGUAGCUAAUACCGCAUACGCCCUACGGGGGUAAGCAUGGAAUCGUAAGACCUUGCACCAUUGGACCGGUCGAUAUCGGAUUAGCUAGUUGGUGAGGUAACGGCGCACCAAGGCGACGAUCCGUAGCUGGUUUGAGAGGACGAGCAGCCACACUGGGACUGAGACACGGCCCAGACUCCUACGGGAGGCAGCAGUGGGGAAUUUUGGACAAUGGGGGCAACCCUGAUCCAGCCAUCCCGCGUGUGCGAUGAAGGCCUUCGGGUUGUAAAGCACUUUUGGCAGGAAAGAAACGUCGCGGGCUAAUACCCCGUGGAACUGACGGUACCUGCAGAAUAAGCACCGGCUAACUACGUG